This 253-nucleotide ribosomal RNA is filed under the name uncultured bacterium. RNAcentral describes it as "partial 16S ribosomal RNA". It matches the Rfam family "Bacterial small subunit ribosomal RNA", at positions 524 to 776 of the family's 1533-position model. The record is from RNAcentral.
UACGUAGGGUGCGAGCGUUGUCCGGACUUAUUGGGCGUAAAGAGCUCGUAGGCGGUUUGUCGCGUCGACUGUGAAAACCCGAGGCUUAACCUCGGGCCUGCAGUCGAUACGGGCAGACUAGAGUUCGGUAGGGGAGACUGGAAUUCCUGGUGUAGCGGUGAAAUGCGCAGAUAUCAGGAGGAACACCGGUGGCGAAGGCGGGUCUCUGGGCCGAUACUGACGCUGAGGAGCGAAAGCGUGGGGAGCGAACAGG